AUGGGCCAAUUGCAAGGGUGGGAGAAUUCCAGGAGUCCAGGGAGACUCCCAGGGAUGGGAGAAUUCCAGGGAUGGGAGAAUUCCAGAGAUCCAAGAAUAGUCCCAGGGAUGGGAGAAUUCCAGGGAUGGGCCAAUUCCACGGAUCCAGGGAUAAACCCAGGGAUGGGAGAAUUCCAGGGGUCCAGGGAGACUCCCAGGGAUGGGACAAUUGCAGGGAUGAGAGAAUUCUGGGAAUGGGCCAGUUCUGGGAAUGGGCCAAUGCCAGGGAUCCAGGGACAUUCCCAGGGAUGGGAGAAUUCCAGGAAUGGGAGAAUUCCAGGGGUGGGAGAAUUCCGGGAAUGGGAGAAUUCCAGGGGUCCAGGGAUAGUCCCAGGAAUGGGAGAAUUCCAGGGAUGGGCCAAUUCCAGGAAUCCAGGGACAUUCCCAGGGAUGGGAAAACUCCAGGAAUGGGCCAAUUGCAGGGGUGGGAGAAUUCCGGGAAUGGGAGAAUUGCAGGGGUGGGAGAAUUCCGGGAAUGGGACACUCCCAGGGGUGGGAAAAUUCCAGGAAUGGGAAAAUUCCGGGAAUGGGAGAAUUGCAGGGGUCCAGGGAUACUCCCAGGGAUGGGAAAACUCCAGGAAUGGGCCAAUUCCAAGGGUGGGCCAAUUCCAAGGGUGGGAGAAUUCCAGGAAUCCAGGGACAGUCCCAGGGAUGGGGAAAUUGCAGGAAUGGGCCAAUUCCAAGGAAGGGACACUCCCAGGGAUCCGGGACCAAUUGCAGGGAUGGGAGAAUUCCAGGGAUUCAGGGACAUUCCCAGGGAUGGGAGAAUUCCAGGAAUCCAGGGACAUUCCCAGGGAUGGGAGAAUUCCAGGGAUGGGCCAAUUCCAAGGGUGGGACAAUUCCAGGGAUGGGAGAAUUCCAGGAAUCCAGGGAGACUCCCAGGGAUGGGACAAUUGCAGGGAUGGGAGAAUUCUGGAAAUGGGAGAAUUGCAGGGGUCCAGGGACAGUCCCAGGGAUGGGAAAACUCCAGGGAUGGGCCAAUUCCAAGGAAGGGACACUCCCAGGGAUCCGGGACCAAUUGCAGGGAUGGGAGAAUUCCAGGGAUUCAGGGACAUUCCCAGGGAUGGGAGAAUUCCAGGAAUCCAGGGAGACUCCCAGGGAUGGGACAAUUGCAGGGAUGAGAGAAUUCCAGGAAUGGGCCAGUUCUGGGAAUGGGCCAAUUCCAGGAAUCCAUGGACAUCCCCAAGGAUGGCAAAACUCCAGGAACGGGACCCUCCCAAGCAUCCAGGGCCCAAUCCCAAAGCUCCAGAGCAGCCCGGAACGCCGAGCAGGAGGCGUUUCCCGGGAAUGCUGACCAGGAUAUCCUGGGAUGCGCGUGCGUCGGCCGCGGGCAGCCCGUGGAGCUGCUGCUGGAGCUGCGCCAUUCCCUGGGGCAGAUCCCGCGCCGGGAUGAACCAAUCGCGCUCCUCCUCCUCCUCCAGCAUCUCCUGGAAGCAGCGAUCCAGGAAUUCCUGCUCCUGCAGCUCCUCCUCCACCUGCCCGGAGAGAUCCCGCCCACGGUUUUUUGGUUUUUUUUUUUUUCCACGCGGCACCAGGAAUUCAUGGAAUGGCCGAGCUUGGAAAAUUCGCCUUCCCCACGUGCUCGAUCCCGCCGGGAAGGGGGAAUCCAGGAUUUUUGGGUUUUUUUCCACGCAGGAAUGUUGUCGAUAUCCCAACCCAGCUGUUGCUGCUGAUGCCAUUCCCGGAUUUCUCUGCAGGGAACCACGAGGUUCCUCCGGAGGCUGCUUUUUCCCAGGAAUUCCUGGGAUGGGAUGGCAGAGUUUUCCCAGCCUGGCAUUCCUGCGGUUGCUCCGGCAGGGAUGUGGGAGCAGAGGAAAGCUGGGAAUUGCCCUGAGGGGCCGAUCCCAUUUUCCCGGUUUUCCAUGGAUUCCAGAGAUUCCACGAGGAGCGAAGCCAGGAUGCACAAAGGCUGAGUUUUUCCAUGGGAUGGAGCACCGGGAAAAGCGGGAAUUCUGUGCCUGGGGUGGGGCAGAAAGGUGGGAAUUCUGUGCCUGGGGAGGGCAGAAAGGUGGGAAUUCUGUACCUGGGGAGGGGCAGAAAAGCGGGAAUUCUGUGCCUCGGGAAAGGCAGAAAGGUGGGAAUUCUGUGCCUGGGGAAGGGCAGAAAAGCGGGAAUUCUGUGCCUGGGGAGGGGCAGAAAAGCGGGAAUUCUGUGCCUGGGGAGGGCAGAAAAGCGGGAAUUCUGUGCCUCGGGAAAGGCAGAAAGGUGGGAAUUCUGUGCCUGGGGAGGGGCAGAAAAGCGGGAAUUCUGUGCCUGGGGAGGGCAGAAAGGUGGGAAUUCUGUGCCUGGGGAAAGGCAGAAAGGUGGGAAUUCUGUGCCUGGGGAGGGCAGAAAGGUGGGAAUUCUGUGCCUGGGGAGGGGCAGAAAAGCGGGAAUUCUGUGCCUCGGGAAAGGCAGAAAAGCGGGAAUUCUGUGCCUGGGGAAAGGCAGAAAGGUGGGAAUUUUGUGCCUGGGGAGGGCAGAAAAGCGGGAAUUCUGUGCCUGGGGAGGGGCAGAAAAGCGGGAAUUCUGUGCCUGGGGAGGGCAGAAAGGUGGGAAUUCUGUGCCUGGGGAGGGGCAGAAAAGCGGGAAUUCUGUGCCUGGGGAGGGCAGAAAAGCGGGAAUUCUGUGCCUGGGGAGGGCAGAAAGGUGGGAAUUCUGUGCCUGGGGAGGGGCAGAAAAGCGGGAAUUCUGUGCCUGGGGAGGGCAGAAAAGCGGGAAUUCUGUGCCUGGGGUGGGGCAGAAAAGCGGGAAUUCUGUGCCUGGGGAGGGGCAGAAAGGUGGGAAUUCUGCCUCCAGCUCCCAAAUACCAACAACAUUCCAAAGGAGCAAUUCCAGAGGAAACCAUGGAGCUGCUGGAGCCCCUCUGGAUCAGGCUGGGAGAGCUGGGAAUGCUCCCUUGGAGAAGGAAUUCCAGGGAUUUCUUGGAGUCCAUUCCAGAGCCUAAAGGGGCUCCAGGAGAGCCGCAGAGGGAUUUGGGAUCAGGGAUUUGGGAUCAGGGAUUUGGGAUCAGGAGCCAGGGAAUGGCUUCCCAGUGGGAAACUGGAAUCCAGCGGGGCUUUUGGGAAGGAAUUCCUGCCUGGAAAUCGGGAUAUGGAAGCCGAGCUGCCCAGGAAGGUCGGCUCAUCCCAGCAGGAGAUUAUCCCGGGAUUCUGCUCUGCCAGGGACAUCCAGCUGAAUAUUCCCGGUUUUCCAGCCUCUCCUAGGCCCGGGAUGUUUGCCUGA
RNAcentral lists this long non-coding RNA (3243 nucleotides) under Corvus moneduloides (New Caledonian crow). RNAcentral describes it as "lncRNA (ENSCMUG00000017236.1)". Lineage: Eukaryota; Metazoa; Chordata; Aves; Passeriformes; Corvidae. The record is from RNAcentral.